This 483-nucleotide ribosomal RNA is filed under the name uncultured bacterium. RNAcentral describes it as "partial 16S ribosomal RNA". It matches the Rfam family "Bacterial small subunit ribosomal RNA", at positions 28 to 507 of the family's 1533-position model. The record is from RNAcentral.
GACGAACGCUGGCGGCGUGCUUAACACAUGCAAGUCGAACGCUGAAGCUCAGCUUUUGUUGGGUGGAUGAGUGGCGAACGGGUGAGUAACACGUGAGUAACCUGCCCCCUUCUUUGGGAUAACGCCCGGAAGCGGGUGCUAAUACCGGAUAUUCACUGGUCUUCGCAUGGGGGUUGGUGGAAAGGGUUUUUCUGGUGGGGGAUGGGCUCGCGGCCUAUCAGCUUGUUGGUGGGGUGAUGGCCUACCAAGGCUUUGACGGGUAGCCGGCCUGAGAGGGUGACCGGUCACAUUGGGACUGAGAUACGGCCCAGACUCCUACGGGAGGCAGCAGUGGGGAAUAUUGCACAAUGGGCGCAAGCAUGAUGCAGCGACGCCGCGUGAGGGAUGGAGGCCUUCGGGUUGUGAACCUCUUUCGCUCAUGGUCAAGCCGCAACAAUGGUUGUGGUGAGGGUAGUGGGUAAAGAAGCGCCGGCUAACUACGUG